This 253-nucleotide ribosomal RNA is filed under the name uncultured bacterium. RNAcentral's name for it is "partial 16S ribosomal RNA". It matches the Rfam family "Bacterial small subunit ribosomal RNA", at positions 524 to 776 of the family's 1533-position model. The record is from RNAcentral.
GACGAAGGGGGCUAGCGUUGUUCGGAAUUACUGGGCGUAAAGCGAGUGUAGGUGGUUGUCCAAGUUGGAUGUGAAAGCCUUGAGCUCAACUCAAGAAAUGCAUUCAGGACUGGGCGGCUAGAGGACCGGAGAGGAUAGUGGAAUUCCCAGUGUAGUGGUGAAAUUCGUAGAUAUCGGAAGGAACACCAGUGGCGAAGGCGGCUAUCUGGACGGUGACUGACGCUGAGACGCGAAAGCGUGGGGAGCAAACAGG